Molecule: ribosomal RNA, 438 nt
Filed under: uncultured Spumella
Lineage: Eukaryota; Synurophyceae; Ochromonadales; Ochromonadaceae
Description: eukaryotic LSU rRNA
Rfam family: Eukaryotic large subunit ribosomal RNA
Source: RNAcentral
CUGCGAGUGAAGCGGGAAAAGCUCAGACUGAAAAUCUUCGGAAUUGUAGUCUGGAGAAGUAUGGUCAGCCGAUGAUGAUGAGUGAAGUCUUCUGGAAAGGAGCGCCUUGGAGGGUGAUAGCCCCGUUCAUACUUAUCAUUAGAAGCGUACGACCUGCUUUCUACGAGUCGUGUUGUUUGGGACUGCAGCACUAAGUGGGUGGUAAAUUCCAUCUAAAGCUAAAUAUUGGUGGGAGACCGAUAGCGAACAAGUACCGUGAGGGAAAGAUGCAAAGAACUUUGAAAAGAGAGUUAAAUAGUACCUGAAAUUGCUGAAAUGGAACCGAUGGGAAGCAGUGUCGGUGGCGGGUAUUUAUACCUGUCACAAGCCAGGCUUCUUUUCUGGUGCGGGAAAGGCUGAUAAACUAGUUUAGGUUAUCUACGCCGUCGUGCUAGCGAA